UGGGGAAUAUUGCACAAUGGGCGAAAGCCUGAUGCAGCAACGCCGCGUGCGGGAUGACGGCCUUCGGGUUGUAAACCGCUUUCAGCAGGGACGAAGGUUUUCUGACGGUACCUGCAGAAGAAGCACCGGCUAACUACGUGCCAGCAGCCGCGGUGAUACGUAGGGUGCGAGCGUUGUCCGGAAUUAUUGGGCGUAAAGAGCUUGUAGGCGGUCCGUUGCGUCGGAAGUGAAAAACUCAGGGCUUAACCCUGAGCCUGCUUUCGAUACGGGCGGACUUGAGGGAUGUAGGGGAGAACGGAAUUCCUGGUGGAGCGGUGGAAUGCGCAGAUAUCAGGAGGAACACCAGUGGCGAAGGCGGUUCUCUGGACAUUUCCUGACGCUGAGAAGCGAAAGCGUGGGGAGCAAACAGGCUUAGAUACCCUGGUAGUCCACGCCGUAAACGGUGGCACUAGGUGUGGGACCCAUUCCACGGGUUCCGUGCCGUAGCUAACGCAUUAAGUGCCCCGCCUGGGGAGUACGGCCGCAAGGCUAAAACUUAAAUGAAUUGAC
This 549-nucleotide ribosomal RNA is filed under the name uncultured bacterium. RNAcentral's name for it is "partial 16S ribosomal RNA". It matches the Rfam family "Bacterial small subunit ribosomal RNA", at positions 355 to 914 of the family's 1533-position model. The record is from RNAcentral.